GGACUACCGGGGUAUCUAAUCCCGUUUGCUCCCCUGGCUUUCGUGCAUGAGCGUUAGGAACUGUCCAGAGACCCGCCUUCGCCACCGGUGUUCUAGUCGAUCUCUACGCAUUUCACCGCUACACCGACUAUUCCAGUCUCCUCUCCAGCCCUCAAGCCCGCCAGUUUCGAAUGACCUAUCACAGUUAGGCUGUGAGAUUUCACAUCCGACUUAACGAGCCGCCUGCGCACCCUUUACGCCCAAUGAAUCCGAACAACGCUUGCAGUCUCUGUAUUACCGCGGCGGCUGGCAC
RNAcentral lists this ribosomal RNA (292 nucleotides) under uncultured bacterium. Its description in RNAcentral is "partial 16S ribosomal RNA". The record is from RNAcentral. RNAcentral also lists the same sequence under 1 other name.